UAUAGCUCAGUUGGUAGAGCAUGUGAUUCUUAAUCUUGGGGUCGUGGGUUUGAGCCCCACAAGUGGGCAAAA
Podarcis lilfordi (Lilford's wall lizard) is the source of this 72-nucleotide non-coding RNA. The record is from the annotation of a GenBank genome assembly. Lineage: Eukaryota; Metazoa; Chordata; Lepidosauria; Squamata; Lacertidae.